CCUACGGGUGGCAGCAGUGGGGAAUAUUGGACAAUGGGGGCAACCCUGAUCCAGCCAUGCCGCGUGUGUGAAGAAGGCCCUCGGGUUGUAAAGCACUUUCAGUGAGGAAGAACGCCUGGUGGUUAAUACCCAUCAGGAAAGACAUCACUCACAGAAGAAGCACCGGCUAACUCCGUGCCAGCAGCCGCGGUAAUACGGAGGGUGCGAGCGUUAAUCGGAAUUACUGGGCGUAAAGCGCGCGUAGGUGGCUUGAUAAGCCGGUUGUGAAAGCCCCGGGCUCAACCUGGGAACGGCAUCCGGAACUGUCAAGCUAGAGUGCAGGAGAGGAAGGUAGAAUUCCCGGUGUAGCGGUGAAAUGCGUAGAGAUCGGGAGGAAUACCAGUGGCGAAGGCGGCCUUCUGGACUGACACUGCCACUGAGGUGCGAAAGCGUGGGUAGCAAACAGGAUUAGAUACCCUUGUAGUC
RNAcentral lists this ribosomal RNA (465 nucleotides) under Vreelandella stevensii. Its description in RNAcentral is "partial 16S ribosomal RNA". It matches the Rfam family "Bacterial small subunit ribosomal RNA", at positions 338 to 795 of the family's 1533-position model. The record is from RNAcentral. Lineage: Bacteria; Pseudomonadati; Pseudomonadota; Gammaproteobacteria; Oceanospirillales; Halomonadaceae.